RNAcentral lists this ribosomal RNA (331 nucleotides) under uncultured Lachnospiraceae bacterium. RNAcentral describes it as "bacterial SSU rRNA". It matches the Rfam family "Bacterial small subunit ribosomal RNA", at positions 28 to 339 of the family's 1533-position model. Lineage: Bacteria; Bacillati; Bacillota; Clostridia; Lachnospirales; Lachnospiraceae. The record is from RNAcentral.
GAUGAACGCUGGCGGCGUGCUUAAUACAUGCAAGUCGAACGAAGUUAUCUCGCUGAGGCGAGCUUGCUCAAUUCUUGAGAUAACUUAGUGGCGGACGGGUGAGUAACGCGUGGGUAACCUGCCUUACACAGGGGGAUAACAGUUAGAAAUGACUGCUAAUACCGCAUAAGCGCACAGUAUCGCAUGAUACAGUGUGAAAAACUCCGGUGGUGUAAGAUGGACCCGCGUCUGAUUAGCUAGUUGGUGAGGUAACGGCCCACCAAGGCGACGAUCAGUAGCCGGCCUGAGAGGGUGAACGGCCACAUUGGGACUGAGACACGGCCCAAACUCC